GUUGUCGUCAGCUCGUGUCGUGAGAUGUUGGGUUAAGUCCCGCAACGAGCGCAACCCUUAUUGUUAGUUGCCAGCAUUAAGUUGGGCACUCUAGCAAGACUGCCGGUGACAAACCGGAGGAAGGUGGGGAUGACGUCAAAUCAUCAUGCCCCUUAUGACCUGGGCUACACACGUGCUACAAUGGACGGUACAACGAGUCGCAAGACCGCGAGGUUUAGCAAAUCUCUUAAAGCCGUUCUCAGUUCGGAUUGUAGGCUGCAACUCGCCUACAUGAAGUCGGAAUCGCUAGUAAUCGCGGAUCAGCAUGUCGCGGUGAAUACGUUCCCGGGCCUUGUACACACCGCCCGUCACACCAUGAGAGUUUGUAACACCCAAAGCCGGUGGGGUAACCUUUUGGAGCCAGCCGUCUAAGGUGGGACAGAUGAUUAGGGUGAAGUCGUAACAAGGUAGCCGUAGGAGAACCUGCGGUUGGAUCACCUC
RNAcentral lists this ribosomal RNA (480 nucleotides) under uncultured bacterium. Its description in RNAcentral is "bacterial SSU rRNA". It matches the Rfam family "Bacterial small subunit ribosomal RNA", at positions 1048 to 1529 of the family's 1533-position model. The record is from RNAcentral.